CGGAGCAACGCCGCGUGAACGAUGAAGGCCUUCGGGUCGUAAAGUUCUGUUGUUAGGGAAGAACAAGUAUCGUAGUAACUGCCGGUACCUUGACGGUACCUAACCAGAAAGCCACGGCUAACUACGUGCCAGCAGCCGCGGUAAUACGUAGGUGGCAAGCGUUGUCCGGAAUUAUUGGGCGUAAAGCGCGCGCAGGCGGUCCUUUAAGUCUGAUGUGAAAGCCCACGGCUCAACCGUGGAGGGUCAUUGGAAACUGGGGGACUUGAGUGCAGAAGAGGAAAGCGGAAUUCCACGUGUAGCGGUGAAAUGCGUAGAGAUGUGGAGGAACACCAGUGGCGAAGGCGGCUUUCUGGUCUGUAACUGACGCUGAGGCGCGAAAGCGUGGGGAGCAAACAGGAUUAGAUACCCUGGUAGUCCACGCCGUAAACGAUGAGUGCUAAGUGUUAGAGGGUUUCCGCCCUUUAGUGCUGCAGCUAACGCAUUAAGCACUCCGCCUGGGGAGUACGGCCGCAAGGCUG
Molecule: ribosomal RNA, 518 nt
Filed under: uncultured Bacillota bacterium
Lineage: Bacteria; Bacillati; Bacillota
Description: bacterial SSU rRNA
Rfam family: Bacterial small subunit ribosomal RNA
Source: RNAcentral